RNAcentral lists this ribosomal RNA (253 nucleotides) under uncultured bacterium. Its description in RNAcentral is "partial 16S ribosomal RNA". It matches the Rfam family "Bacterial small subunit ribosomal RNA", at positions 524 to 776 of the family's 1533-position model. The record is from RNAcentral.
GACGAACCGUACGAACGUUAUUCGGAAUCACUGGGCUUAAAGGGUGCGUAGGCGGCGCAGUAAGUUGGGUGUGAAAUCCCUCGGCUUAACCGAGGAAUUGCGCCCAAAACUACUGUGCUCGAGGGAGGUAGAGGUGAGCGGAACUUAGGGUGGAGCGGUGAAAUGCGUUGAUAUCCUAUGGAACACCGGUGGCGAAAGCGGCUCACUGGACCUCUUCUGACGCUGAGGCACGAAAGCUAGGGUAGCAAACGGG